CUUGGCACUGAAAGCCGACGAAGGACGUGGUAUACUGCGAUAAGUUACGGGGAGCUGUAUGCAAGUUUUGAUCCGUAAAUUUCCGAAUGGGGAAACCCACCACUUUAUGUGGUACUUUAAACUGAAUUCAUAGGUUUAAAGAGACAACCUGGAGAACUGAAACAUCUAAGUAACCAGAGGAAAAGAAAUCAAUUGAGAUUCCGUUAGUAGUGGCGAGCGAAAACGGAUCAGGCCUGUAGUUUAUUUGAGAAAAUUUGAAUAGUAUGGAAAUGCUAACCAAAGAGGGUGAUAGUCCCGUAGAAGUAAUGCUUAAAUAAACUCUUGAGUAAAGCGGGACACGUGAAAUCUUGCUCGAAUAUAGGGGGACCACCCUCUAAGCCUAAAUACUCUUUAGUGACCGAUAGUGAACAAGUACCGUGAGGGAAAGGUGAAAAGAACCCCUAUUAGGGGAGUGAAAUAGAACCUGAAACCGCAUGCCUACAAUCAGUCGAAGCUCUUUUUAGAGUGACGGCGUACCUUUUGUAUAAUGGGUCAGUGACUUAAUUUAUUAAGCAAGCUUAAGCCAUCUAGGUGUAGGCGCAGCGAAAGCAAGUCUUAAUAGGGCGUUUAGUUUAAUGAAUUAGACCCGAAAACGAAUGAGCUUACCAUGAGCAGGUUGAAUGCAAGGUAACACUUGCUGGAGGACCGAACCAGUUGACGUUGAAAAGUCUUUGGAUGACUUGUGGUAAGGGGUGAAAGGCCAACCAAAUUCGUAGAUAGCUGGUUUUCCGCGAAAACUAUUUAGGUAGUGCGAUGAGUAAAUAUGCGUUUAGAGGUAGAGCACUAAAUGGGCUAGGGGGAAGAGAUUCUUACCAAACCUAAUAAAACUCCGAAUGCUAAACGUAGUUCCUCAUCAGACAGACUGUGGGUGCUAAGGUCCAUGGUCGAGAGGGAAAGAGCCCAGACCACCAGAUAAGGUCCCAAAAUUAUGAUUAAGUGUGAAAGGAUGUGGAAAUUCCUUAACAGCCGGGAGGUUGGCUUAGAAGCAGCCAUCCUUUAAAGAUAGCGUAACAGCUCACCGGUCUAAUAGAGUUUCUGCGCCGAAGAUGUAACGGGGCUAAAAUCAUAUACCGAAUCUGUGGGUUUAUAAAAUUUUCGAAUUUUAUAAGCGGUAGCGGAACGUUCUGUAAGCCUGUAAAGGAAUACCCGUGAGGGAUUCUGGAGGUAUCAGAAGUGCGAAUGCUGACAUAAGUAACGAUAAAUAAAGUGAAAAACUUUAUCGCCGAAAAUCCAAGGGUUUCUGCGCAAGGUUAAUCCGCGCAGAGUUAGUCGGCCCCUAAGGCGAGGGCGAAAGCCGUAGUCGAUGGAAAUAAGGUUAAUAUUCCUUAACCAGAUGGUAGUGACGGAUUUUGUAAGUUGUGAGUUCUUAAUGGAUUGAACUUGCUGCGAAAAAGUCCCAGGAAAUAGCUCCAUCAUUAGACCGUACCCUAAACCGACACAGGUGGAUUAAUAGAGUAUAUUUAGGCGCUUGAGAGAAUGAUGUUGAAGGAACUCGGCAAAAUGCUUCUGUAACUUCGGAAUAAAGAAGACCUUUUUUAGGGCAACCAUUUAAAGGUGGCACAAGCCAGGGAGAAGCGACUGUUUAUCAAAAACACAGGGCUCUGCUAACACGUAAGUGGAUGUAUAGGGUCUGACGCCUGCCCGGUGCUGGAAGGUUAAUGCGAUGGGUGCAAGCUCAUUUCUGAAGCCCCAGUAAACGGCGGCCGUAACUAUAACGGUCCUAAGGUAGCGAAAUUCCUUGUCGGGUAAGUUC
RNAcentral lists this ribosomal RNA (1792 nucleotides) under marine metagenome. RNAcentral's name for it is "bacterial LSU rRNA". It matches the Rfam family "Bacterial large subunit ribosomal RNA", at positions 32 to 1983 of the family's 2925-position model. The record is from RNAcentral.